Molecule: small nucleolar RNA, 73 nt
Organism: Phascolarctos cinereus (koala)
Lineage: Eukaryota; Metazoa; Chordata; Mammalia; Diprotodontia; Phascolarctidae
Gene: SNORD82
Rfam family: Small nucleolar RNA SNORD82
About the family: snoRNA U82 or Z25 is found in both humans and mice. U82/Z25 is a member of the C/D class of snoRNA which contain C (UGAUGA) and D (CUGA) box motifs.
Source: Ensembl
GGCACAGGGGAUGAUCUGCCAAGGGACUUAAUUCUGAAGCCUGAUAGACACUCACGGUCAUAAGCUGAUGUGC